GACGAACGCUGGCGGCGUGCUUAACACAUGCAAGUCGAACGGAAAGGCCCUGCUUUUGUGGGGUGCUCGAGUGGCGAACGGGUGAGUAACACGUGAGUAACCUGCCCUUGACUGUGGGAUAACUUCAGGAAACCGGGGCUAAUACCGGAUAGGAGCUCCUGCUGCAUGGGGGGGGUUGGAAAGUUUCGGCGGUUGGGGAUGGACUCGCGGCUUAUCAGCUUGUUGGUGGGGUAGUGGCUUACCAAGGCUUUGGCGGGUAGCCGGCCUGGGAGGGUGACCGGCCACAUGGGGACUGAGAUACGGACCAGACUCCUACGGGAGGCAGCAGUGGGGAAUAUUGCACAAUGGGCGGAAGCCUGAUGCAGAAGCGCCGCGUGCGGGAUGACGGCCUUCGGGUUGUAAACCGCUUUCGCCUGUGACGAAGCGUGAGUGACGGUAAUGGGUAAAGAAGCACCGGCUAACUACGUG
RNAcentral lists this ribosomal RNA (468 nucleotides) under uncultured bacterium. RNAcentral's name for it is "partial 16S ribosomal RNA". It matches the Rfam family "Bacterial small subunit ribosomal RNA", at positions 28 to 507 of the family's 1533-position model. The record is from RNAcentral.